Molecule: ribosomal RNA, 920 nt
Filed under: Bacillus sp. (in: firmicutes)
Lineage: Bacteria; Bacillati; Bacillota; Bacilli; Caryophanales; Bacillaceae
Description: bacterial SSU rRNA
Rfam family: Bacterial small subunit ribosomal RNA
Source: RNAcentral
GGCAGCAGUAGGGAAUCUUCCGCAAUGGACGAAAGUCUGACGGAGCAACGCCGCGUGAGUGAUGAAGGUUUUCGGAUCGUAAAGCUCUGUUGUUAGGGAAGAACAAGUGCCGUUCAAAUAGGGCGGCACCUUGACGGUACCUAACCAGAAAGCCACGGCUAACUACGUGCCAGCAGCCGCGGUAAUACGUAGGUGGCAAGCGUUGUCCGGAAUUAUUGGGCGUAAAGGGCUCGCAGGCGGUUUCUUAAGUCUGAUGUGAAAGCCCCCGGCUCAACCGGGGAGGGUCAUUGGAAACUGGGGAACUUGAGUGCAGAAGAGGAGAGUGGAAUUCCACGUGUAGCGGUGAAAUGCGUAGAGAUGUGGAGGAACACCAGUGGCGAAGGCGACUCUCUGGUCUGUAACUGACGCUGAGGAGCGAAAGCGUGGGGAGCGAACAGGAUUAGAUACCCUGGUAGUCCACGCCGUAAACGAUGAGUGCUAAGUGUUAGGGGGUUUCCGCCCCUUAGUGCUGCAGCUAACGCAUUAAGCACUCCGCCUGGGGAGUACGGUCGCAAGACUGAAACUCAAAGGAAUUGACGGGGGCCCGCACAAGCGGUGGAGCAUGUGGUUUAAUUCGAAGCAACGCGAAGAACCUUACCAGGUCUUGACAUCCUCUGACAAUCCUAGAGAUAGGACGUCCCCUUCGGGGGCAGAGUGACAGGUGGUGCAUGGUUGUCGUCAGCUCGUGUCGUGAGAUGUUGGGUUAAGUCCCGCAACGAGCGCAACCCUUGAUCUUAGUUGCCAGCAUUCAGUUGGGCACUCUAAGGUGACUGCCGGUGACAAACCGGANGGAAGGUGGGGAUGACGUCAAAUCAUCAUGCCCCUUAUGACCUGGGCUACACACGUGCUACAAUGGACAGAACAAAGGGCAGCGAAACCGC